UACGUAGGGCGCAAGCGUUGUCCGGAAUUAUUGGGCGUAAAGAGCUCGUAGGCGGUCUGUCGCGUCGGCUGUGAAAACCCGAGGCUCAACCUCGGGCCUGCAGUCGAUACGGGCAGACUAGAGUGCUGUAGGGGAGACUGGAAUUCCUGGUGUAGCGGUGAAAUGCGCAGAUAUCAGGAGGAACACCGGUGGCGAAGGCGGGUCUCUGGGCAGUAACUGACGCUGGAGGAGCGAAAGCGUGGGGAGCAAACAGG
RNAcentral lists this ribosomal RNA (254 nucleotides) under uncultured bacterium. RNAcentral describes it as "partial 16S ribosomal RNA". It matches the Rfam family "Bacterial small subunit ribosomal RNA", at positions 524 to 776 of the family's 1533-position model. The record is from RNAcentral.